AACGAACGCUGGCGGCAUGCCUAACACAUGCAAGUCGAACGAGAUCUUCGGGUCUAGUGGCGCACGGGUGCGUAACGCGUGGGAAUCUGCCCUCUGGUUCGGAAUAACAGUUGGAAACGACUGCUAAUACCGGAUGAUGACGAAAGUCCAAAGAUUUAUCGCCAGAGGAUGAGCCCGCGUAGGAUUAGCUAGUUGGUGUGGUAAAGGCGCACCAAGGCGACGAUCCUUAGCUGGUCUGAGAGGAUGAUCAGCCACACUGGGACUGAGACACGGCCCAGACUCCUACGGGAGGCAGCAGUGGGGAAUAUUGGACAAUGGGCGAAAGCCUGAUCCAGCAAUGCCGCGUGAGUGAUGAAGGCCUUAGGGUUGUAAAGCUCUUUUACCCGGGAUGAUAAUGACAGUACCGGGAGAAUAAGCUCCGGCUAACUCCGUGCCAGCCGCCACAGUAA
This 449-nucleotide ribosomal RNA is filed under the name uncultured bacterium. RNAcentral's name for it is "partial 16S ribosomal RNA". It matches the Rfam family "Bacterial small subunit ribosomal RNA", at positions 29 to 523 of the family's 1533-position model. The record is from RNAcentral.